RNAcentral lists this transfer RNA (70 nucleotides) under Dipodomys ordii (Ord's kangaroo rat). It matches the Rfam family "tRNA". From Rfam's summary of the family: Transfer RNA (tRNA) molecules are approximately 80 nucleotides in length. Their secondary structure includes four short double-helical elements and three loops (D, anti-codon, and T loops). The record is from Rfam by way of RNAcentral. Lineage: Eukaryota; Metazoa; Chordata; Mammalia; Rodentia; Heteromyidae.
GGGAAGGUGGCUCAGUGGUAGAGCGCUUGCCUUGCAUGCAAGAGGUCCUGGGUUCAAUUCCUCACCACCA